GAUGAAGAACGUAGCGAAAUGCGAUAAGUAAUGUGAAUUGCAGAAUUCAGUGAAUCAUCGAAUCUUUGAACGCACCUUGCGCUCUCUGGUAUUCCGGGGAGCACGCCUGUUCGAGUGUCGCGAAAUUCUUCAAGCCUUGGAUGGAUUUUUUUUUGUCUGUCCUUGGGCUUGGUUGUUGGGCUCUGCCGUGUCCUUCAUUGGGACGGCUGGCCUUAAAAGCAUUAGCCGAUCCUCGUGUGGUACUGGUUCUACUCAGCGUGAUAACAAUCUGAUCGUUGAGGACAUCUUCUGGAUGGCCAGUCAUCAUUUGGGUUGCUUCUAAACCGGUUUCGCAGAUUGCUCAAUCUGUGUGCCACUUUUCAGCUUUGACCUCGAAUCAGGUGGGACUACCCGCUGAACUUAAGCAUAUCAAUAAGCGGAGGA
Molecule: unclassified non-coding RNA, 423 nt
Filed under: soil metagenome
Description: partial contains 5.8S ribosomal RNA, internal transcribed spacer 2, and large subunit ribosomal RNA
Rfam family: 5.8S ribosomal RNA (bases 1-120)
Source: RNAcentral